GGGGGUAUAGCUCAGCUGGGAGAGCAGCAGACUGAAGUCCCAAAGUUCAUACCACGUUCUUCUGAAGGUCCCGCGUUCGAUCCGCGGUACCCCCA
Non-coding RNA from Lentinula lateritia, 95 nucleotides. The record is from the annotation of a GenBank genome assembly. NCBI's taxonomy places the organism in Eukaryota, Fungi, Basidiomycota, Agaricomycetes, Agaricales, Omphalotaceae.